This is a long non-coding RNA of Brassica oleracea var. oleracea, 1905 nucleotides long. RefSeq lists it as uncharacterized. Lineage: Eukaryota; Viridiplantae; Streptophyta; Magnoliopsida; Brassicales; Brassicaceae. The record is from RefSeq and is a predicted model, not a curated record. The transcript has 9 exons.
CCGCGUUUCACGUCUCAUCGGAUUAAGGCUUCAAUGUCCUCCUCUUCGCAGAACUCAACCUGGCCGUUUCCUCUUUACCGGUCCUCUACUCAUCUCUUCACCUCCUCCGAUGUUAUUUCUUCACCUCCCUGAAGUUCAAUGUAUUUUUUUAAUUCGGCAAUUACUGUCGACGCCUCCGUUUCCUUCGUGCGGAAUCUAUAUAUAUCAGCGAGUUGAGAGUAGAAAGGAUCUUCGGAACCUCUGUCAGAAUCUCAUUUUCUUAAGCGUUUAAUUUAUCUCAAAAAUAUCUUCCUCCGAUGCCGUUCUCGCGUAAUCAGGCUUUGAAGCCCUCCAUGUAGGAAGACCUGCUCAAAUCAUUGUAGGUCGUCUGCUCCUUUUUUGGGACUCCAAAAACAUCAAGAAGCAGAGUGAAUUAAUGGGGAUCACUCUUAUCCUCCUUCGUGAGAACUGAGAAGAUAUCUCGCAUCAGUGGUUCUUCAAAUGAAGCUUGCAAACUACUAGAGCUUACUAUGAUACGUUGCAUGCUUCUCACGUAUCCACAUCUACGAGGUACACGAGAGGCUAGGGCUCACAAAAUUCAUUGGCUUACAUCACCCCACAACAACCAUGAGUUUAUUCCCUUGUGAAGCUUUCAUGGCUUCAAACCCAUUAAUCUGUUUCCUCUGCAAGCUUUUCUAGCUCAUCUUCCUGUCUCCCCAAAUUUGUGAGGGAAUGACAACACAUGUGGUUGAUACGUCUGCCAUUCACAGAUUCAAGUCAUAAGAAGUACUGAAAAAUGAAAUUAAGAAGAGAAACCUUUUUAUAACAUUUUCCUUCGCUUUCUUCAAGAGUGAGACCCUUUGUAUCAUGCACAAUGAAGUAUAUGAAGAAGAGAGAGAACGCAUAUCACCCCAAAUUCACAGAUCAGUACUCAAGCUCCUACAGAAAAAUACCAGCCGAGAGCUAAAUGGGGAAUCUCUAGAGGGAGCGUCUCAAUAGAUCUGCAGUGUGAGUCCAAGCCAUGUUCAGGUCUAUGCAAGCUCAAGAGGAUGAAGCUCAUUUGGAGUAUGAGUGUGCAAGAUAUUUGAUCAGAAUGGUGGCUAUGGAUAUGUCAAUCUAAGAUAUUGAUAAAAUAGCAUAGAGGUUAAGGAGCAGACUGCUGAAACAUGAGGCAAGAAGCUUGAUGCGGCAUAUUGUGAAGGAUGUUCCAAACAGUGUGCUGAAACAUAUUACCCUUGAGAACAAUGAAAACAAGCCUGUUACUAACUCUAGAGGCACCCAAGAAGUAUCAGACCUGUCAAGUUGGAGCAAGGUUUAAAGAUUGUGAAAAUUUUCAAGGAGCAUACGAGCAAGAUUUGCAUUUUGAAUGACUUUUCCUUCUAUGAGGUUCGACAGAAGACUAUCUUGGAGAAGAAAGCGAAGCAACAGCAAACCCAUAAACAGGUAAGUGAGGAGAAUAGUACAGAGGAUGAGAAAAAGAAAUCUGAAACUGCUGAUCCGCCUCAUAAGGAAUCUCCUCCAGCUUUCAGACUACCGGUGAUGUCAAGGUUGAUGACUGUUUCUAAACCAGUUGAUGUGUAGAAAAUGGUUGUUAGAUAGAUUAGUCGAUGCUACUCACGGCUUGAGCAUAAACGAUUAAACGCAACAAGAAAGAAGGUUUCUCUUGAGAACGAGUGCGGUGAGCUUUGAAGCAAAGAGGAACUUUAGUACUUAAGACCGAGAACUGUUUCUUUGCCCUUGGAAAUUAAAAUCAAUUUUUUCAUAUCUAUUUUUGUUUGUUUUUACAUGUCUUUAUAAUUUUCUGUUUUUUCAUUUUUUCAUUUUCUGUUGAUGCUCCUACCCUGUAAAAUUGCUUAAUAUGACCUACUAAAUAGUGGGAAGUAGUAGGAAAAAAGGAGAUAAAAGCAGGGUGGUUUUGUUUUCGUU